UGGGGAAUAUUGCACAAUGGAGGGAACUCUGAUGCAGCGACGCCGCGUGAACGAAGAAGGCUUUCGAGUUGUAAAGUUCUUUUAUAUGGGAAGAUAAUGACGGUAGCAUAAGAAAAAGCCCCGGCUAACUACGUGCCAGCAGCCGCGGUAAUACGUAGGGGGCUAGCGUUGUCCGGAAUCACUGGGCGUAAAGGGUUCGCAGGCGGAAAUGCAAGUCAGGUGUAAAAGGCAGUAGCUUAACUACUGUAAGCAUUUGAAACUGCAUAUCUUGAGAAGAGUAGAGGUAAGUGGAAUUUUUAGUGUAGCGGUGAAAUGCGUAGAUAUUAAAAAGAAUACCGGUGGCGAAGGCGACUUACUGGGCUCAUUCUGACGCUGAGGAACGAAAGCGUGGGUAGCAAACAGG
RNAcentral lists this ribosomal RNA (403 nucleotides) under Fusobacteriota bacterium. RNAcentral's name for it is "Fusobacteria bacterium partial 16S ribosomal RNA". It matches the Rfam family "Bacterial small subunit ribosomal RNA", at positions 355 to 776 of the family's 1533-position model. Lineage: Bacteria; Fusobacteriati; Fusobacteriota. The record is from RNAcentral.